AGAGUUUGAUCCUGGCUCAGGACGAACGCUGGCGGCGUGCCUAAUACAUGCAAGUCGAGCGAACAGAGAAGGAGCUUGCUCCUUCGACGUUAGCGGCGGACGGGUGAGUAACACGUGGGCAACCUACCUUAUAGUUUGGGAUAACUCCGGGAAACCGGGGCUAAUACCGAAUAAUCUAUUUUACUUCAUGGUGAAAUACUGAAAGACGGCAUCUCGCUGUCGCUAUAAGAUGGGCCCGCGGCGCAUUAGCUAGUUGGUGAGGUAACGGCUCACCAAGGCGACGAUGCGUAGCCGACCUGAGAGGGUGAUCGGCCACACUGGGACUGAGACACGGCCCAGACUCCUACGGGAGGCAGCAGUAGGGAAUCUUCCACAAUGGGCGAAAGCCUGAUGGAGCAACGCCGCGUGAGUGAAGAAGGUUUUCGGAUCGUAAAACUCUGUUGUAAGGGAAGAACAAGUACAGUAGUAACUGGCUGUACCUUGACGGUACCUUAUUAGAAAGCCACGGCUAACUACGUGCCAGCAGCCGCGGUAAU
RNAcentral lists this ribosomal RNA (536 nucleotides) under uncultured soil bacterium. RNAcentral describes it as "bacterial SSU rRNA". It matches the Rfam family "Bacterial small subunit ribosomal RNA", at positions 8 to 524 of the family's 1533-position model. The record is from RNAcentral.